This 440-nucleotide ribosomal RNA is filed under the name uncultured bacterium. Its description in RNAcentral is "partial 16S ribosomal RNA". It matches the Rfam family "Bacterial small subunit ribosomal RNA", at positions 338 to 795 of the family's 1533-position model. The record is from RNAcentral.
CCUACGGGAGGCAGCAGUAGGGAAUAUUGCUCAAUGGGGGAAACCCUGAAGCAGCAACGCCGCGUGGAGGAUGAAGGUUUUCGGAUUGUAAACCUCUUUCGUCAGAGAAGAUAAUGACGGUAUCUAAUGAAUAAGCACCGGCUAACUCCGUGCCAGCAGCCGCGGUAAUACGGAGGGUGCAAGCGUUAUUCGGAAUUACUGGGUGUAAAGAGCGCGUAGGCGGGAUAGCAAGUCAGAUGUGAAAUCCUAUGGCUUAACCAUGGAACUGCAUUUGAAACUGUUCUUCUAGAGUACGGGAGAGGUAGGUGGAAUUCUUGGUGUAGGGGUAAAAUCCGUAGAGAUCAGGAGGAAUACUCGUUGCGAAGGCGACCUGCUAGAACGUAACUGACGCUGAUGCGCGAAAGCGUGGGGAGCAAACAGGAUUAGAUACCCUAGUAGUC